Lycium barbarum (goji berry) is the source of this 841-nucleotide long non-coding RNA. RefSeq lists it as uncharacterized. The transcript has 3 exons. Lineage: Eukaryota; Viridiplantae; Streptophyta; Magnoliopsida; Solanales; Solanaceae. The record is from RefSeq and is a predicted model, not a curated record.
AUUUCUACCUCAUUUUCGACCCAACUCAGACCAAAAACUCUCUCUAGACCUCCUAAACAUAUCCUUAUGGUUUGAAAGCCAAAUCAAAGGUAGAAAAGGUGAAACAAGUGGGUUCAAGCCUUAGGAACCCGAACUAGUCGAUAGUUUGCCUCUUUCUAUCUCUUGGUGGCUGUUUGAGGAAGACUUAGCAACGAAGUAAGCUCUGUAAAUUGGGGAUUCGUGUGCUUUUAGACACGAGAAGAUUUUGUGAGCUUGGUAGUUGAUUGAAGAGGAGAUUAAAAGGUCUGCAGAUGUAGGUUGGUGAUCCAUCUAUUAGGAUGUCAGCUCAGUGGAUGAGUUGGUACACUCUGUUUGUUCCGGAGAUGCUAGGAGUCAGCAUGGUCUUAUGUAUAUAUAGAUAUGUACGCACAUAUGUUGGGUAUGGCGGGGCCCUGUCCCGGCCACGUUAUGUUUUUCAAUAGAGGCUUGUAGACAGUUUUGUACAGUCAGAUGAGGUCUAGACUUGAGCUUUCAUAUGUCAUCGCAGUUGGUUAUGAUGGCCUUAUCAGCUUAUACAGUAUUUUCACAUAGAUGAGUCUUUCAGAACAGUUGAAGUUGAUGCAUGCAUGUUCCUUAUAAGUUAUUGAGAGUCAUAUGAUGGCCCUAUCGGCCCACCUAUGUUUAUGUUGAUGUCACAAAUGUAUGUCAGGUGGUACUUGACUAGUACAGUCAGGUGCCCGUCAUGGCCCUCCAGUUUGGGUCGUGACAAUCCGCUUCAUAGGAUAACAUUUCAUAGCAGUGGAACGAUCUUUACUCCAAGGGACCUAGUUCUUCGGUCAAUUUUUGUUAAUAAUCAAAAUUA